This 253-nucleotide ribosomal RNA is filed under the name uncultured bacterium. Its description in RNAcentral is "partial 16S ribosomal RNA". It matches the Rfam family "Bacterial small subunit ribosomal RNA", at positions 524 to 776 of the family's 1533-position model. The record is from RNAcentral.
UACGAAGGGGGCUAGCGUUGUUCGGAAUCACUGGGCGUAAAGCGCAUGCAGGCGGAUUGUUAAGUCGGGGGUGAAAUCCCGAGGCUCAACCUCGGAACUGCCUUCGAUACUGGAAGUCUUGAGUCCGGGAGAGGUGAGUGGAACUCCGAGUGUAGAGGUGAAAUUCGUAGAUAUUCGGAAGAACACCAGUGGCGAAGGCGGCUCACUGGCCCGGUACUGACGCUGAGAUACGAAAGCGUGGGGAGCAACCAGG